RNAcentral lists this ribosomal RNA (468 nucleotides) under uncultured bacterium. RNAcentral's name for it is "partial 16S ribosomal RNA". It matches the Rfam family "Bacterial small subunit ribosomal RNA", at positions 28 to 507 of the family's 1533-position model. The record is from RNAcentral.
GACGGACGCUGGCGGCGUGCUUAACACAUGCAAGUCGAACGGAAAGGCCCUGCUUUUGUGGGGUGCUCGAGUGGCGAACGGGUAAGUAACACGUGAGUAACCUGCCCUUGACUUUGGGAUAACUUCAGGAAACUGGGGCUAAUACCGGAUAGGAGCUCCUGCUGCAUGGUGGGGGUUGGAAAGUUUCGGCGGUUGGGGAUGGACUCGCGGCUUAUCAGCUUGUUGGUGGGGUAGUGGCUUACCAAGGCUUUGACGGGUAGCCGGCCUGAGAGGGUGACCGGCCACAUUGGGACUGAGAUACGGCCCAGACUCCUACGGGAGGCAGCAGUGGGGAAUAUUGCACAAUGGGCGGAAGCCUGAUGCAGCAACGCCGCGUGCGGGAUGACGGCCUUCGGGUUGUAAACCGCUUUCGCCUGUGACGAAGCGUGAGUGACGGUAAUGGGUAAAGAAGCACCGGCUAACUACGUG